GGUCGCGUAGCUCAGCAGGAUAGAGCGUCGGUUUCCUAAACCGCAGGUCGGAGGUUCGAGUCCUCUCGCGAUCACCA
Molecule: transfer RNA, 77 nt
Rfam family: tRNA
About the family: Transfer RNA (tRNA) molecules are approximately 80 nucleotides in length.